UCUUUUUCUAGUUGUUGUGUUAAUUAAAUGCAAACUUUCUGAAAUUUUUUGGUGUUCUUUGACGUGUACUGAUAAUUGAUUUCUCCGAUGAGAGAAAGGGGACAGAAAAGCUGAAUGUGGUAGUUGGAGUCGGAUUAAUUUGCAAUCGAGUGCCUUUUUGUUUUCAUAAGAAGUGAGAUAAUCCCUGCAAAUUAUGCUAUGAUAUUCACAAUCCAUUGCUAAUAUUUUGGCGUUGGACUGAUCGCGGAGUUGCGAACAUUGAUUAAUUACUGGGAAUUUACUGUGAUGUGCUCUGUUUUUGUUGUUGUUUUUAAAUUAUCCUUGGUCGGCAAUUUGGGAGUUAUUGAGGAAUUUCACGAUUUCCUAGGUGUUUGUGGUAUUUAUGUUUUUGUAAUUAAUUUAUAUGGGGUUUCUUGGUCUGAAGGAUGUUGGCACUUCAAGCUUUUUUUUAUUAAUAGAUUUGAUUUCUCUCUUUUAUUAUUUUGCAUUUACUACUUCAGUGCUAAUGCCGUAGUGCCAGUUUGCUCUCCAUGUGAUUGCAGUAAUAG
Molecule: unclassified non-coding RNA, 548 nt
Filed under: Hevea brasiliensis (rubber tree)
Lineage: Eukaryota; Viridiplantae; Streptophyta; Magnoliopsida; Malpighiales; Euphorbiaceae
Source: RNAcentral